RNAcentral lists this ribosomal RNA (244 nucleotides) under uncultured bacterium. RNAcentral's name for it is "partial 16S ribosomal RNA". It matches the Rfam family "Bacterial small subunit ribosomal RNA", at positions 335 to 570 of the family's 1533-position model. The record is from RNAcentral.
ACUCCUACGGGAGGCAGCAGUGAGGAAUUAUGCGCAAUGGGGGAAACCCUGACGCUGCGACGCCGCGUGGGCGAUGAAGGCCUUCGGGUCGUAAAACCCUGUCGAGAGGGGCGAAAAGCCGGUGUGCUAAUACCACUCCGGCUUGACGGUACCUCUGGAGGAAGCCCCGGCUAACUCCGUGCCAGCAGCCGCGGUAAUACGGAGGGGGCAAGCGUUGUUCGGAAUUACUGGGCGUAAAGCGCGC